This 651-nucleotide ribosomal RNA is filed under the name Citrobacter freundii. RNAcentral's name for it is "bacterial SSU rRNA". It matches the Rfam family "Bacterial small subunit ribosomal RNA", at positions 892 to 1533 of the family's 1533-position model. The record is from RNAcentral. Lineage: Bacteria; Pseudomonadati; Pseudomonadota; Gammaproteobacteria; Enterobacterales; Enterobacteriaceae.
GGUUAAAACUCAAAUGAAUUGACGGGGGCCCGCACAAGCGGUGGAGCAUGUGGUUUAAUUCGAUGCAACGCGAAGAACCUUACCUACUCUUGACAUCCAGAGAACUUAGCAGAGAUGCUUUGGUGCCUUCGGGAACUCUGAGACAGGUGCUGCAUGGCUGUCGUCAGCUCGUGUUGUGAAAUGUUGGGUUAAGUCCCGCAACGAGCGCAACCCUUAUCCUUUGUUGCCAGCGGUCCGGCCGGGAACUCAAAGGAGACUGCCAGUGAUAAACUGGAGGAAGGUGGGGAUGACGUCAAGUCAUCAUGGCCCUUACGAGUAGGGCUACACACGUGCUACAAUGGCAUAUACAAAGAGAAGCGACCUCGCGAGAGCAAGCGGACCUCAUAAAGUAUGUCGUAGUCCGGAUUGGAGUCUGCAACUCGACUCCAUGAAGUCGGAAUCGCUAGUAAUCGUGGAUCAGAAUGCCACGGUGAAUACGUUCCCGGGCCUUGUACACACCGCCCGUCACACCAUGGGAGUGGGUUGCAAAAGAAGUAGGUAGCUUAACCUUCGGGAGGGCGCUUACCACUUUGUGAUUCAUGACUGGGGUGAAGUCGUAACAAGGUAACCGUAGGGGAACCUGCGGUUGGAUCACCUCCUUACCUUAAAGAA